CUACUGCCAAUUAAACUUACCAUUCUCCUUUCUUCAUGGGGAACGUGAUACGCAAUGACCGCAAAUAUCAGCCUUUUCAGAAUUAUACACAGGCUGCUAUUGGUACGGGCUACCAUAGGGGACCUUUAAGACAGAU
Ictidomys tridecemlineatus (thirteen-lined ground squirrel) is the source of this 136-nucleotide small nucleolar RNA. Its record names the gene SNORA70. It matches the Rfam family "Small nucleolar RNA SNORA70". From Rfam's summary of the family: snoRNA U70 seems to be exclusive to mammals and is a member of the H/ACA class of snoRNA which contain H (ANANNA) and ACA box motifs. Lineage: Eukaryota; Metazoa; Chordata; Mammalia; Rodentia; Sciuridae. The record is from Ensembl.